RNAcentral lists this ribosomal RNA (253 nucleotides) under uncultured bacterium. RNAcentral describes it as "partial 16S ribosomal RNA". It matches the Rfam family "Bacterial small subunit ribosomal RNA", at positions 524 to 776 of the family's 1533-position model. The record is from RNAcentral.
UACGUAGGUGGCAAGCGUUAUCCGGAUUUACUGGGUGUAAAGGGCGUGUAGGCGGGACUGCAAGUCAGAUGUGAAAAUUAUGGGCUCAACCCAUAACCUGCAUUUGAAACUGUAGUUCUUGAGUGAUGGAGAGGCAGGCGGAACUCCGUGUGUAGCGGUGAAAUGCGUAGAUAUACGGAGGAACACCAGUGGCGAAGGCGGCCUGCUGGACAUUAACUGACGCUGAGGCGCGAAAGCGUGGGGAGCAAACAGG